AAAAUUCUUAUCCCUGAGAGAUUUUAAAAAUUCUUAUUUUAAAAAGCCGAAGGCUUACCGCCUUUUAAGGGUGAGAGAUUUCAAGAAACAAAAGUUCCGACACCGCUCCAAAUACUAUUAACCCUGAGAGGUCCCUGGGGAUUCCAGGCGAUUCGUGAUUGGUCGAAGGGGUUUUCGGGACCGUGACGCUUUCGUGCUGCUCCGAUCGCGACGCGACUAAUCCCAUUCGAUGUAGAAUGACUUUUUACACAGAUAUUUGACCAAGAAAAAGACACCCAGAUUGACUUUGAGUUGAUUGUUUGUUGACUAGCAGACGACGAUAACUUUUAUCGGUGUGGCGUGUGGGUACUGGCUACUGGGGCGGCUGGGUAUUCAUUGGAAUUCAUCGAUCUAAUGAUUCUAAUAAGAAAAAAAAACCAUGCCUCCAGUGUCACAACUGAUGAUUCCUUUACCCAUCAAAUGCCAGAUUGGCAGAUAGUUCAAUAUGUGGGUGCUGAAUGAACUGGUAAACAUAAAAAAUGGAAUUGACAAUAGAUUACAUUUAUCAUCAGACAUUGCUCCCAUUCAGAAAAUUAUGUCUUGAAGAUGACGACAAGUUGCCAGUUGAUUUACAUGUCACCCAUAAUGAUAUCCUAGCACACCAUACUUUAUUCGGCAUGCAAAAAAAGCUUUCCCUUCUAGCUUUCCCUCAUUUAAAGGCCUUGAUGUUAUGGUUAGCGAAAUUUUAUCAACAAAGAUAAAUUAAAGCUGCAGCUGUGGAAAAUGGAAUUGACAAUUAACUUUACAAUAGACAUACUACAGUUUCAGAACAGUUGGGCAUGAAGAUGACAAGUUGCCAGUCGAUUGACAUGUCACCCUAAGUUAUACCACAGCAAUGGAAUUGAUAUUUCAGAAAAAAAUUUCUUGAAAGUUGCCAGUCGAUUUACAUGACACCCUAAGUGAUAUCAUAGCAAGAGCUUGUCAUUUAGAUAGUUUGUUACCAUUCUUGAUUCAACAUUCAAAAGAAGAUUUCCCUCAUUUAGAAUGCCUUGAUGAUUUGAAGAAAAAAAAACCACUGAUAAUCUUCGACUUCCUGCAAAUUGGUACCCUUAAGCAAGAGCCUUGAAAAGGAAAAUUGUAUCUCAUUCUGGACCAACUAUUAUAGUGAAAAAAAUAUCAUGUUCUUGAAAGGUUGUUUAAUUCAAAUCAGGAGUUUAUAGUAGUCCCUCAAUUUUUUAAUUCAAAAUCAGGAGUUUAUUAUGGUCCCUUAAAACUUUUGACAACUGAUGGGUAUUGCAAAAGGAAAUGAGUGUGGUGUCCCAUAUGAUUAGUAACUGGAGAAGAAAGAAAGUUUUCUAAUGCUACUGAUAUAUCCCCUUUUUCCCAUGUAUCCUGCACUGUUGAAACUCUUCUCCUGUUAAGUGCCAUCAUACAUAAAUAAUAAAAACGACUCUUGUGUUACAUUUGAAUCCAUUUAUUUAAAUACAAAAUUGAAUAAUUAAUUUGAAAAUAAAUGACGCCAUGACGGACAGUUGACAGAAUACAGUGUCAAAACGCACACUAGAGGGUAGGGCAAAGCAGAAUCCCGCCAAAGUGCAUUAUUUCAAAUAGUUUUACUACCCAACACUCUUUUCCUUCCGAAAUUUUCACACAAUGAGUGGGACUAAAUGAUGAUUAAAAAAAUCAACCAUGAGAAAUAAGACUUACUAGAGAACUAACUAUUUUAAUUGUUGACUAUUUAAUAAGAUGACAAACAGAGAAAACAAUACGAAAACUAAAUUUUUAAAUUUCCUAAUCAAGAAAAAAAACGAAAGGAGACUUUUAAAAUCUCGAAGGUGCCACAGAGGGGCUUGAUCCCUGAGAGAUUUUUAAAAUUCUUAUUUUAAAAAGCCGAAGGCUUACCGCCUUUUAAGGGUGAGAGAUUUCAAGAAACAAAAGUUCCGACAGCGCUCCAAAUAGUCUUAACUGUGAGAGGUCCCUGGGGAAUUGGGGCGAUUCGUGAUUGGUCGAAGGGGUUUUCGGGACUGUGACGCGUUCGUGCUGCUCUGAUCGCGACGCGACUAAUCUUAUUCGAUGUAGAAUGACUUUUUACAUAGGUCAUGACUAAAUUUUUUAAGUAUUAACGAAAAUAACGAGAGAUUGGGAGCAAAAAGGGGAAAAAAAGGGGAAACUUCUAAAAUAGAUUGCAUAUACGAUUCCACAAAAUUAAAGGGUCCAAUUAGUUCUAAUGGAAAGAACAACUUUCCGUUUAACCGAAAAGACUAAAUUUGCAUUACUUAUUUUGUGGUUCGCGAGAUAUCUGCGAAAGAAAAAGACACCCAGAUUGACUUUUAGCUUGAUUGUUGACUAGCAGACGACGGUAAAUUUUAACAGGAUAACAGUCACGUGUGGCAUGGCGAAUUGAUGGAUUGAAUGUUUGUGAUAGAUUUCAUCUCGUGAAACACUGUGUUUUUAUUUCAUAUGUUAACUAUUGCUGAAUUCUAAUAAGAAAAAAAACCAUGCAUCCAGUAUCACAACUGAUGGUUCAAUUACCCAUCAAAUGCAAGAUUGGCAGAUAGUUCAAAUGUGGGUGCUGAAUGAACUGGUAAACAUGGAAUUGACAAUUAUCUUUAUCAUCAGACAUUGCUCCCUAUCAGAAAAUAUGUCUUGAAGAUGACGACAAGUUGCCAGUUGAUUUACAGGUCACACUUAGUGAUAUCCUAGCACAGCAUACUUUAUUCGGCAUGCAAAAAAAGCUUUCCCCUCUGGCUUUCCCUCAUUUAAAAAGCCUUGAUGAUUUCAUGGUUCUAAGCAAAAAUUUUAUCAACGGAUAGAAAUUAAAGCUGCAGCUGUGUGAAAUGGAAUUGACAAUUACAUUCAUCAUCAGACAUAUUUCAGUUUCAGAAAGUUUUGUCUUGAAGAUGACAAUAGUUGCCAGUCGAUUUACAUGUCACCUUAAGUGAUGUCAUAGCAGGAGCUUGUCAUUUAGAUAAUUUGUUACCAUUCUUAAUUCAACAUGAAAAACAAGCUUUCCCUCAUUUAGAAUGCCUUGAUGAAUUGAAAAAAAAAACUCACUUCCUGCAAAUUGGUACCUACCCUGAAGCAAGAGCCUUGACAUGCAAAAUUGUAUUUUAUUCUGGGCUUCUGGCUUAACAAAUAGCGGGAAAACAUAUCAUGUUCUUGAAAGGUUUUGUUAUUCAAAUCAGCAGGAGUUUAUUAUGAUCCCUUAAAUUUUCAAUUCGAAAUCAUGAGUUUAUAAUGGUCCCUUAAAACUUUUUACAUCUAAAGUGUAUUGCAAAAGUAAUGAGUGUGGUGUCCAAUGUGAUUUAGUAACUGGAGAAGAGAAACAAUUUGCUAAUGCUACUGAUAAAUCCAAUUUUUUCCCAGGAUCCUGCACUGUUAUAAUGAUCACAGUGAAAAUCAUAUCAACUCUUCUCCUGUUGAGUGCCAUCAUAAAUAAAUAAUAAAAAUGA
Daphnia pulex (common water flea) is the source of this 3431-nucleotide long non-coding RNA. RefSeq lists it as uncharacterized. The transcript is spliced from 10 exons. The record is from RefSeq and is a predicted model, not a curated record. Lineage: Eukaryota; Metazoa; Arthropoda; Branchiopoda; Diplostraca; Daphniidae.